Molecule: transfer RNA, 98 nt
Filed under: Helianthus annuus (common sunflower)
Lineage: Eukaryota; Viridiplantae; Streptophyta; Magnoliopsida; Asterales; Asteraceae
Description: tRNA-Leu
Rfam family: tRNA (bases 8-87)
About the family: Transfer RNA (tRNA) molecules are approximately 80 nucleotides in length. Their secondary structure includes four short double-helical elements and three loops (D, anti-codon, and T loops). Further hydrogen bonds mediate the characteristic L-shaped molecular structure. tRNAs have two regions of fundamental functional importance: the anti-codon, which is responsible for specific mRNA codon recognition, and the 3' end, to which the tRNAs corresponding amino acid is attached (by aminoacyl-tRNA synthetases). tRNAs cope with the degeneracy of the genetic code in two manners: having more than one tRNA (with a specific anti-codon) for a particular amino acid; and 'wobble' base-pairing, i.e. permitting non-standard base-pairing at the 3rd anti-codon position.
Source: RNAcentral
CGAGCAAGCCGCUAUGGUGAAAUCGGUAGACACGCUGCUCUUAGGAAGCGGUGCUAGAGCAUCUCGGUUCGAGUCCGAGUGGCGGCAUGCCAUCUUCU